This 7495-nucleotide long non-coding RNA is filed under the name Sorghum bicolor (sorghum). RNAcentral describes it as "long non-coding RNA (SBIC_LNC006982)". The record is from RNAcentral. Lineage: Eukaryota; Viridiplantae; Streptophyta; Magnoliopsida; Poales; Poaceae.
UAGUUAUGUACUUGGCUUAGUUAGAUUGGAUCUAUAUACAUGCUUUGGAUCGUAUAGCGUUUAUCCAUCAGAUCCAUGGGUAAAUGAUAGAUAUUGUGUAGGCGUGGUGCUUAUACCGUAUUUAUCUUCCAUAUGCACUUCCCCUGAGAGAAGGUACGCCAUUAUUUUACUGACCCUAACUAUAUCGUUGAAGAAUCUAAGCAGGUGAGGAAACGACGCAACCGCAACCAGAUGAGGCAAAUCAUCAAGGACGGAUGGGCAGACUAUGAAGGAGAAGUUGUAAGGUCAGAAGACGUAGAGUUUAAAGAGAACUAUCCAGAGGAGACUGAAGCACCGAGUCAGGUAUGGAAAGAGAAGAUAAUUACAUAAAGAGGAGGCGCUGCCGGAAGUACCGACUCCGCCACCCAACGAACCUCAGGACAAUUGAGAAAAUGGAGAGUCCCAUUCGGAGGACUUAAAAACACCGAACGCCUUGCCAAGACGUAAACUUGGUAGUUAUCCUUUCCCUUUCAAUUAUUUAAAAUAGUUUGCUUAGUUACUUAUGUUCAUGCUAUCCUAAAAAGAAAAUAAAAAUGUGAAAAACAGUAAGCCCCAUGUGAGUAGACGAGUGGCAUAAAACCCAUAAGUACAUUCACUGUGGUGGCAUAAAAAUAAAAUAAAUAUUUCAUUUCUGCUUUAUAAAAUGAAAAUAUAAAAACAGGGAGUAAUAUUUAUUGAGGAGUCUCAACAUGAUAAAGGCUAGAUAUUUAUGCUAACACUUAAUCAGUUCCACAAGCUUUGUUGUCUAUUUGAGCUCCACAGAAUUCAAGAAUCAAGAAGACUAGCAGACGAAGGACAUUCUAAUCGCUGUCAGAAUGCUGCUGACUUUCAAAUACACCUCUGCCACCUGCUAGCUACAUCAAGAGAAAUUAUGUCAAAAUUCAGCUUGGGGGAGAGCACCCCCAUUUAUACCGAUAAGUAUUUCUAUCUAUCUAUCUUUAUACUUAUACUAUAUUAAAAUAUAAAUAUACAUAAACUAGGAAAAACCAAAUAAAUAUUUUGUGCUUAUAUAUAUCUUUUGCUUAGUAUGUUUAAUAAAUAAAUAAAGUGGCUAUGCUAAUCUGUAUCUAAAUAAAACUCAAGCAUGGAUAUGAUGAAUAGUUGCUCUGCCUAAUUUGCAAAUUUUAAGUUCUCUCUCAAGUUUAGACAUAAUUGUUAUAAUUUAAAGCUUGCUCUAGACCUAAACUUGUGGGAUGAAAACUUGAUCUGAAGUCUAAGUUGUUAACGGAUAUGAUAUGGGAAGGUUGAGCUGUUGUUUAUCUGUUCCUAGAGAUGCUAGAAUUCUGGAGAAUUUUAUCUUUGAAAAUCUUUAAAAUGUUGCAUGAUGAGUUCCUGUAUGAUGAGAGUUUAAAUUCCUACCACAGCCAUAUAUACAUGCUUGCUAGACUUUGAGCCACACAUUUACUAUUUACUGCUUAUGAGCAUUGAGUGUGGUCAAGCUGUGUAGACCCUUAGGAGUUUGUCAUGUGGUUAAAUCAAGAUUUCACUUGCACGUUCACUCAUAUAUGCUACUUCUACUCCGGAAGUAUCAUUCACAUAUAUCCACCCAUUUCCAUCUCCAGAACCACCCAAAAAUAUUCUACUCCUAACCCGGGAGAGAAUAGACAAAAAUAUUUCUGUUUUUCCUUUAUGAAAUAAAUGCUCAAGUUAUCUUGUUACUACCGCUUGCUAUAUUAUCUCAAGAGAUGAGUGCUCUAAAAAAAAGAUACGAGGAAAUAAAAAGGAGCAAGUGCUCGGAACCUCGAAAGAAACGAAAAAAGUGAGACGAGAGGUAAAAAUGGACAAGUGUCCGACAGUAGAAUUAGGGGUACAAGAUACCCACGUGAGAGAAAAGAAAAAGAAGAGCAUCUCAUUCUCCUCAUAAAAAUUCAAAAAGCAAGGAAGGUAUGUAUCCCCUCAAAAGAGCAAAGUAGAAUUAGACUUUCACCAUUGUUAUCACCAUCAUCACCAUACACCAUUCAAUCGCCACACAUGCACAUCUUGAUUAAACUUAUUGACUUGUUUCUUUGGAUCCAUGGUUUGACUAUACAAUAAAUGUCUUGUAAGUAUGUAUACUUUAUCUCCCACCUAUGAGCUCUAGAUAUUAAAGCCUUAUUAGAGUAGGGUGAGAGAGAAGGCAAUGUCACUAUGCUUUAUACCACAAAUACUACAUAUCUUGAGAGAAGGCAUAUACCAUCACUGCCUUGGUAAGGAUCCAGAAAUACCACAAAAGAGAGAUAUGAGAGAAUCAUACAAGGAAUCUCUGAGUUUUAUUUGAAAAUCUACAAAAACUCUAGAGCUAUAGCUGAUCAAGAAUAAGAGACAUGGCACUUGGCUAGACUGUUCUAUCUUUUAACUACUCAAGACAGAAGUGACGGUUACAAGUCCCAUGGUGAAGGUAAAGUAAGUAAGUUUUAAGUCUUGACAGUUUACUCUAACUCAGAGAUGAGAUCUUAUUUUAAAAGCAUGUGUACUGUCAAUUUUUAAAGAUAUUGCAACAACUUCUAAUCCAUUGCUGAGUCUGUCCUUGCUCAGGGACGAGCAAGAGGUAAGCUUGGGGGAGUUUGUUGACGGUCCUUAAGUAUUAAAUUUAAUUAUUAAAUAAACAAAGAAAAGGAUCCAAAUGAAAUCAACAUCCAGACUUAGGGUUUUAUGUGACAGAAUUCCACAAGUUUUGGUGUUUGUCUAUUUCUGCAGGGGGUUAUCAGGAAAUACGGAAGAAAGGCCCACACGUCGGGAUUACAUAGAGAUAUUAACGUGCCGCGUAAUUAUCUUACAUCUAGAAGACUCCAGAAGCCAUGAGACCGAAGCGGAGGCGAAACGGGGCCAGAGGCGGGGCGCCCGCCCUCCUGCCCUGGGCGCCCACCCCCUCAGAGAGUCCAAUCAGGACUCUGCUUCGUGGGAGAUCUCCACCGACCUAAAGGAUCAAGGAUAACCGUUCAAUCUAAGUCGGUUUGAUCCAACGGCCCAUAUUCACUUGAAGGGACUAUAAAACCAGACCCCCUGGCCCCUGGAGGAGAGAGCCUCUCAACCCUAAUUCAUUAUUCUCAAGGGAGAAGAAGCUUCUGAUCAAGAUUAGAGCCACCACAUCAAUUAGAUAUCUAGAUUAGCAUAGCUACAUAGGAUUAGAACUAGAAGGAGUCAAUCUUUGAUUGGUUUCCGGAUCUGUCAAGAGGAUUCUUGGUAAUUCUCUAAUUGUUCUUCUAAUUAUCUUUGUUCUUCAAUAUUAUGAAUAUGACUUUGUUCUACUUCAAUAUAUUGCUUAUGACUUUGCUCUACUUGUUUAUAUUCAAGAUUAUAUUGUUCUUAGUUUAUCAUAGUUAUGUACUUGGCUUAGUUAGAUUGGAUCUAUAUACAUGCUUUGGAUCGUAUAGCGUUUAUCCAUCAGAUCCAUGGGUAAAUGAUAGAUAUUGUGUAGGCGUGGUGCUUAUACCGUAUUUAUCUUCCAUAUGCACUUCCCCUGAGAGAAGGUACGCCAUUAUUUUACUGACCCUAACUAUAUCGUUGAAGAAUCUAAGCAGGUGAGGAAACGACGCAACCGCAACCAGAUGAGGCAAAUCAUCAAGGACGGAUGGGCAGACUAUGAAGGAGAAGUUGUAAGGUCAGAAGACGUAGAGUUUAAAGAGAACUAUCCAGAGGAGACUGAAGCACCGAGUCAGGUAUGGAAAGAGAAGAUAAUUACAUAAAGAGGAGGCGCUGCCGGAAGUACCGACUCCGCCACCCAACGAACCUCAGGACAAUUGAGAAAAUGGAGAGUCCCAUUCGGAGUACUUAAAAACACCGAACGCCUUGCCAAGACGUAAACUUGGUAGUUAUCCUUUCCCUUUCAAUUAUUUAAAAUAGUUUGCUUAGUUACUUAUGUUCAUGCUAUCCUAAAAAGAAAAUAAAAAUGUGAAAAACAGUAAGCCCCAUGUGAGUAGACGAGUGGCAUAAAACCCAUAAGUACAUUCACUGUGGUGGCAUAAAAAUAAAAUAAAUAUUUCAUUUCUGCUUUAUAAAAUGAAAAUAUAAAAACAGGGAGUAAUAUUUAUUGAGGAGUCUCAACAUGAUAAAGGCUAGAUAUUUAUGCUAACACUUAAUCAGUUCCACAAGCUUUGUUGUCUAUUUGAGCUCCACAGAAUUCAAGAAUCAAGAAGACUAGCAGACGAAGGACAUUCUAAUCGCUGUCAGAAUGCUGCUGACUUUCAAAUACACCUCUGCCACCUGCUAGCUACAUCAAGAGAAAUUAUGUCAAAAUUCAGCUUGGGGGAGAGCACCCCCAUUUAUUCCGAUAAGUAUUUCUAUCUAUCUAUCUUUAUACUUAUACUAUAUUAAAAUAUAAAUAUACAUAAACUAGGAAAAACCAAAUAAAUAUUUUGUGCUUAUAUAUAUCUUUUGCUUAGUAUGUUUAAUAAAUAAAUAAAGUGGCUAUGCUAAUCUGUAUCUAAAUAAAACUCAAGCAUGGAUAUGAUGAAUAGUUGCUCUGCCUAAUUUGCAAAUUUUAAGUUCUCUCUCAAGUUUAGACAUAAUUGUUAUAAUUUAAAGCUUGCUCUAGACCUAAACUUGUGGGAUGAAAACUUGAUCUGAAGUCUAAGUUGUUAACGGAUAUGAUAUGGGAAGGUUGAGCUGUUGUUUAUCUGUUCCUAGAGAUGCUAGAAUUCUGGAGAAUUUUAUCUUUGAAAAUCUUUAAAAUGUUGCAUGAUGAGUUCCUGUAUGAUGAGAGUUUAAAUUCCUACCACAGCCAUAUAUACAUGCUUGCUAGACUUUGAGCCACACAUUUACUAUUUACUGCUUAUGAGCAUUGAGUGUGGUCAAGCUGUGUAGACCCUUAGGAGUUUGUCAUGUGGUUAAAUCAAGAUUUCACUUGCACGUUCACUCAUAUAUGCUACUUCUACUCCGGAAGUAUCAUUCACAUAUAUCCACCCAUUUCCAUCUCCAGAACCACCCAAAAAUAUUCUACUCCUAACCCGGGAGAGAAUAGACAAAAAUAUUUCUGUUUUUCCUUUAUGAAAUAAAUGCUCAAGUUAUCUUGUUACUACCGCUUGCUAUAUUAUCUCAAGAGAUGAGUGCUCUAAAAAAAAGAUACGAGGAAAUAAAAAGGAGCAAGUGCUCGGAACCUCGAAAGAAACGAAAAAAGUGAGACGAGAGGUAAAAAUGGACAAGUGUCCGACAGUAGAAUUAGGGGUACAAGAUACCCACGUGAGAGAAAAGAAAAAGAAGAGCAUCUCAUUCUCCUCAUAAAAAUUCAAAAAGCAAGGAAGGUAUGUAUCCCCUCAAAAGAGCAAAGUAGAAUUAGACUUUCACCAUUGUUAUCACCAUCAUCACCAUACACCAUUCAAUCGCCACACAUGCACAUCUUGAUUAAACUUAUUGACUUGUUUCUUUGGAUCCAUGGUUUGACUAUACAAUAAAUGUCUUGUAAGUAUGUAUACUUUAUCUCCCACCUAUGAGCUCUAGAUAUUAAAGCCUUAUUAGAGUAGGGUGAGAGAGAAGGCAAUGUCACUAUGCUUUAUACCACAAAUACUACAUAUCUUGAGAGAAGGCAUAUACCAUCACUGCCUUGGUAAGGAUCCAGAAAUACCACAAAAGAGAGAUAUGAGAGAAUCAUACAAGGAAUCUCUGAGUUUUAUUUGAAAAUCUACAAAAACUCUAGAGCUAUAGCUGAUCAAGAAUAAGAGACAUGGCACUUGGCUAGACUGUUCUAUCUUUUAACUACUCAAGACAGAAGUGACGGUUACAAGUCCCAUGGUGAAGGUAAAGUAAGUAAGUUUUAAGUCUUGACAGUUUACUCUAACUCAGAGAUGAGAUCUUAUUUUAAAAGCAUGUGUACUGUCAAUUUUUAAAGAUAUUGCAACAACUUCUAAUCCAUUGCUGAGUCUGUCCUUGCUCAGGGACGAGCAAGAGGUAAGCUUGGGGGAGUUUGUUGACGGUCCUUAAGUAUUAAAUUUAAUUAUUAAAUAAACAAAGAAAAGGAUCCAAAUGAAAUCAACAUCCAGACUUAGGGUUUUAUGUGACAGAAUUCCACAAGUUUUGGUGUUUGUCUAUUUCUGCAGGGGGUUAUCAGGAAAUACGGAAGAAAGGCCCACACGUCGGGAUUACAUAGAGAUAUUAACGUGCCGCGUAAUUAUCUUACAUCUAGAAGACUCCAGAAGCCAUGAGACCGAAGCGGAGGCGAUACGGGGCCAGAGGCGGGGUGCCCGCCCUCCUGCCCUGGGCGCCCACCCCCUCAGAGAGUCCAAUCAGGACUCUGCUUCGUGGGAGAUCUCCACCGACCUAAAGGAUCAAGGAUAACCGUUCAAUCUAAGUCGGUUUGAUCCAACGGCCCAUAUUCACUUGAAGGGACUAUAAAACCAGACCCCCUGGCCCCUGGAGGAGAGAGCCUCUCAACCCUAAUUCAUUAUUCUCAAGGGAGAAGAAGCUUCUGAUCAAGAUUAGAGCCACCACAUCAAUUAGAUAUCUAGAUUAGCAUAGCUACAUAGGAUUAGAACUAGAAGGAGUCAAUCUUUGAUUGGUUUCCGGAUCUGUCAAGAGGAUUCUUGGUAGUUCUCUAAUUGUUCUUCUAAUUAUCUUUGUUCUUCAAUAUUAUGAAUAUGACUUUGUUCUACUUCAAUAUAUUGCUUAUGACUUUGCUCUACUUGUUUAUAUUCAAGAUUAUAUUGUUCUUAGUUUAUCGUAGUUAUGUACUUGGCUUAGUUAGAUUGGAUCUAUAUACAUGCUUUGGAUCGUAUAGCGUUUAUCCAUCAGAUCCAUGGGUAAAUGAUAGAUAUUGUGUAGGCGUGGUGCUUAUACCGUAUUUAUCUUCCAUAUGCACUUCCCCUGAGAGAAGGUACGCCAUUAUUUUACUGACCCUAACUAUAUCGUUGAAGAAUCUAAGCAGGUGAGGAAACGACGCAACCGCAACCAGAUGAGGCAAAUCAUCAAGGACGGAUGGGCAGACUAUGAAGGAGAAGUUGUAAGGUCAGAAGACGUAGAGUUUAAAGAGAACUAUCCAGAGGAGACUGAAGCACCGAGUCAGGUAUGGAAAGAGAAGAUAAUUACAUAAAGAGGAGGCGCUGCCGGAAGUACCGACUCCGCCACCCAACGAACCUCAGGACAAUUGAGAAAAUGGAGAGUCCCAUUCGGAGGACUUAAAAACACCGAACGCCUUGCCAAGACGUAAACUUGGUAGUUAUCCUUUCCCUUUCAAUUAUUUAAAAUAGUUUGCUUAGUUACUUAUGUUCAUGCUAUCCUAAAAAGAAAAUAAAAAUGUAAAAAACAGUAAGCCCCAUGUGAGUAGACGAGUGGCAUAAAACCCAUAAGUACAUUCACUGUGGUGGCAUAAAAAUAAAAUAAAUAUUUCAUUUCUGCUUUAUAAAAUGAAAAUAUAAAAACAGGGAGUAAUAUUUAUUGAGGAGUCUCAACAUGAUAAAGGCUAGAUAUUUAUGCUAACACUUAAUCAGUUCCACAAGCUUUGUUGUCUAUUUGAGCUCCACAGAAUUCAAGAAUCAAGAAGACUAGC